UUAGAGGAAGAAAACAUAAAGAUUCCUGCUUGGUUCUCCUUUAACUCUAAGGAUGGUAUCAAUGUGGUCAGUGGUGAUUCUUUGUUAGAAUGUGCCUCAAUUGCUGAAUCAUGUGGGAAAGUAGCUGCUGUGGGUAUCAACUGCACUCCUCCUAGGUUUAUCCAUGGAAGUAUAUUAUCUGUCAAGAAGGUGAGCUCCAAACCAAUACUUAUAUAUCCGAACAGUGGGGAGAGCUAUGAUGCUGAUCUAAAGGAGUGGGUGCAAAAUACUGGUGUAUCAGAUGAAGAUUUUGUGUCAUAUGUAAACAAAUGGUGCGAGGUUGGUGCUUCCCUUGUUGGCGGCUGUUGUAGAACUACUCCUAACACUAUCAGAGCUAUAUACAGAACUCUCUCCAAUAGAUCUCCUGCUUUGCCAUUGUAGCAACCGACCUGAUUUGACAUAGAAGGAGCAAAGCAAUUACAAGUCUAACUGGCCUGGGCUGUUAAAAGGGCUUGCAUGGUCUGGAUAUUUUUGCCCUCAGUUGCGAUGUGGAGAGGAGGGUUAGACAUGGCCUAUGCUGCAGGUCAGGGUUGAAAUUUUUGUUCGAGCAGAUGAGUUGUCUUUUGUGAGCUACUCAUAGAGGGAAUAUCACUAGGUGUGAGGAUCAGUUUUCUGUUUAUAGCAAGCCUUGUGUACCGGAAGAUUGUGUCCUAUUUUCUGUUUAUAGCAAGCCUUGUGUACCGGAAGAUUGUGUCCUAUGUUAAAUAACGCCAACUCCAGCAAUUUAAUUGCGGUAUACACUCCUUGUGACUGAAAUGUGGAGGAAUCUCAUUAACAUGUAUUGGAAUGACAAUGAGACAAGGCUGUUGAAAACCUUUGGCCUGUGGCACAAGGGAGUUUCAAUUCACAUUUGUCUAAGCAGCA
Molecule: unclassified non-coding RNA, 903 nt
Filed under: Hevea brasiliensis (rubber tree)
Lineage: Eukaryota; Viridiplantae; Streptophyta; Magnoliopsida; Malpighiales; Euphorbiaceae
Source: RNAcentral